UACGUAGGGUGCGAGCGUUAAUCGGAAUUACUGGGCGUAAAGCGUGCGCAGGCGGUUUUGUAAGCCAGAUGUGAAAGCCCCGGGCUUAACCCGGAAAUGGCAUUGGAAACUGCAUGGCUAGAGUGUUGGAGGGGGGACUGGAAUUCUCGGUGUAGCAGUGAAAUGCGUAGAUAUCGAGAGGAACACCAGUGGCGAAGGCGAGUCCCUGGACAACGACUGACACUGAGGCACGAAAGCUAGGGGAGCAAACAGG
RNAcentral lists this ribosomal RNA (253 nucleotides) under uncultured bacterium. RNAcentral's name for it is "partial 16S ribosomal RNA". It matches the Rfam family "Bacterial small subunit ribosomal RNA", at positions 524 to 776 of the family's 1533-position model. The record is from RNAcentral.